GACGAACGCUGGCGGCGUGCUUAACACAUGCAAGUCGAACGGAAAGGCCCUGCUUUUGUGGGGUGCUCGAGUGGCUAACGGGUGAGUAACACGUGAGUAACCUGCCCUUGACUUUGGGAUAACUUCAGUAAACUUGGGCUAAUACCGGUUAUGAGCUCCUGCUGCAUGGUGGGGGUUGGAAAGUUUCGGCGGUUGGGGAUGGACUCGCGGCUUAUCAGCUUGUUGGUGGGGUAGUGGCUUACCAAGGCUUUGACGGGUAGCCGGCCUGAGAGGGUGACCGGCCACAUUGGGAAUGAGAUACGGCCAAGACUCCUACGGGAGGCAGCAGUGAGGAAUAUUGCACAAUGGGCGGAAGCCUGAUGCAGCAACGCCGCGUGCGGGAUGACGGCCUUCGGGUUGUAAACCGCUUUCGCCUGUGACGAAGCGUGAGUGACGGUAAUGGGUAAAGAAGCACCGGCUAACUACGUG
Molecule: ribosomal RNA, 468 nt
Filed under: uncultured bacterium
Lineage: Bacteria
Description: partial 16S ribosomal RNA
Rfam family: Bacterial small subunit ribosomal RNA
Source: RNAcentral